Molecule: ribosomal RNA, 426 nt
Filed under: uncultured archaeon
Lineage: Archaea
Description: bacterial SSU rRNA
Rfam family: Archaeal small subunit ribosomal RNA
Source: RNAcentral
UACCAGCUCUCCGAGUUGUAGGGACGAUUAUUGGGCUUAAAGCGUCCGUAGCUGGCUUAGCAAGUCUCCUGUUAAAUUCAGCGACCUAAUCGUUGAGCCGCGGGAGAUACUACUAGGCUAGGAGGCGGGAGAGGUCGACGGUACUUUCGGGGUAGGGGUGAAAUCCUAUAAUCCCGGGAGGACCACCAGUGGCGAAGGCUGUCGACUAGAACGCGCUCGACGGUGAGGGACGAAAGCUGGGGUAGCGAACCGGAUUAGAUACCCGGGUAGUCCCAGCUGUAAACUAUGCGGGCUAGGUGUUGGGGUGGCUACGGGCCACUUCAGUGCCGCAGGAAAGCCAUUAAGCCCGCCGCCUGGGGAGUACGGCCGCAAGGCUGAACUUAAGGAGUUGGCGGGGAGCACCACAAGGCGUGAAGCUUGCGGUUC